UACCAGCACCCCGAGUGGUCGGGACGAUUAUUGGGCCUAAAGCAUCCGUAGCCGGUUCUACAAGUCUUCCGUUAAAUCCACCUGCUUAACAGAUGGGCUGCGGAGGAUACUAUAGAGCUAGGAGGCGGGAGAGGCAAGCGGUACUUAGUGGGUAGGGGUAAAAUCCGUUGAUCCAUUGAAGGCCACCAGUGGCGAAGGCGGCUUGCCAGAACGCACUCGACGGUGAGGGAUGAAAGCUGGGGGAGCAAACCGG
This 253-nucleotide ribosomal RNA is filed under the name uncultured bacterium. RNAcentral describes it as "partial 16S ribosomal RNA". It matches the Rfam family "Archaeal small subunit ribosomal RNA", at positions 474 to 727 of the family's 1478-position model. The record is from RNAcentral.